UACCUACACAGAUAUUCCACAAGAACACCGUGAUCUUUGGGCUGGAGAUUUCCCGCUGAACCCGGACCUUCACCUCCCAGCUGAGAACAGGUUUAUAGCCACGGAUUUCACCCUCAAAACAUCAGACUGUCCUGACACGGAUUUCCCAGUCAAAAUAAUUGACAACGAGAGAGGCCGUCUCUGGUUCAGAAAGGACAACAAGUUCAAGAUACCCAAAGCUUAUGCACGCUUCCAGCUGCUGGCACCAUUUAUACAGGAAUCUCCUAAAAA
Sinocyclocheilus rhinocerous is the source of this 270-nucleotide long non-coding RNA. RefSeq lists it as uncharacterized. The transcript has 3 exons. The record is from RefSeq and is a predicted model, not a curated record. Lineage: Eukaryota; Metazoa; Chordata; Actinopteri; Cypriniformes; Cyprinidae.